GUCUUAAGUAUCAUAAUACUCUUUUGAUGCUUGGACCAUGUGUCCACGAAUUACUCGUUUCUUAUACGAGAUUAAUAUAGACUUGGCUGCCUCUUUGUUUAUUGGCCAAUAUAUAUCUCUUUACGCUCACAGAGCGGAGAUUCAUGACCCUCAUUAAUUACAUUUGCGCGCUAAAUCAUUUUUCUUGUUGACAUUAUGUUUUCUUU
RNAcentral lists this long non-coding RNA (206 nucleotides) under Arabidopsis lyrata. Its description in RNAcentral is "long non-coding RNA (ALYR_LNC000129)". Lineage: Eukaryota; Viridiplantae; Streptophyta; Magnoliopsida; Brassicales; Brassicaceae. The record is from RNAcentral.